GUUUAAAAUCUGAUUUUAUUAUUUAUUUAGUGAUAUAUAAAGUGCUUUAAGGUAGUUAUUUUUGUAUUAUAUUAAAUUAAAAAACUAAAAUAUUAGGCUAUACUAUAUGUAAUCCUAGCCUUAGUAGAAUAAGUUGGUCAAUUAAGAAGUGCCAGUAAUCACGGUUACACUUCGAACUUUUCUUUAUGUGAAUUAAUAAUUACUAAGUGUUAUUUUCUUUUUUAUGUGGUUUAAUACAAAAAUUAAAAUAAUGUAGUAACUAUAAAAAAAAAUGGAUUAGGUACCCAAUUAUUAAGUGUAAAUUAAUUAAUAUUAUGUUUAAGGAAUUAAUAAAUUAGGCGGUCCACUAGAGUUAGAGGAACUUGUUAUUAAAAUCGAUAUUCCCCGAUAGACUGAAUUACUUAAUAUUAGUGUAUGUUCGUUUAAACUAAUAAUAAUUAUAUAGUUAGAGAGUUCAGAUCGCCAUACUACAAGUAGUUGAUUAAAUGAGUUACAGUAUGUAGUUAUCAGUCUUUUAGACUUGAGAGGAUUUAAUAGUAAAUUUAUUUUUUUAUGGUAAUUUGAAUGUUAAUAUGGGAGCACUUACCGCCCGCUACUAAUUUUGGAAAUUAUUAUAAGGCGUAACAAGGUAUGUCUUCUAGAAGGAGGACAUGGAUGAGAGUAGGAUUAUUAAA
This 674-nucleotide ribosomal RNA is filed under the name Styela plicata. RNAcentral's name for it is "small subunit ribosomal RNA". Lineage: Eukaryota; Metazoa; Chordata; Ascidiacea; Stolidobranchia; Styelidae. The record is from RNAcentral.